CUGACACAGUUCACUGCUCUAAAUUUCUGAGAAUACAAGAUGAGAGCUUCAUUAUUCUUAUUGAUCCUCCUGGUGAUAUUUCCUGGAGCUAUAUCUAACUACCGCGAAGAACGAAGUUUCAGUGACAGCGAUGAACUACAGCUGAAUCUUCUCUUCAAGUUCCUCCGGUUGCUGCCCAGGCUCAUAGGUCCACAUAUUCCCGUCAUACCUAAACGUCCAGCACCUGCUCCGACUCCAGCGCCGGCACCAAAGACACAGGCACCGACACCGACACCGACACCUACACCGACACCGGCUCCGGCACCACCAACA
Non-coding RNA from Lepisosteus oculatus (spotted gar), 312 nucleotides. Lineage: Eukaryota; Metazoa; Chordata; Actinopteri; Semionotiformes; Lepisosteidae. The record is from RefSeq and is a predicted model, not a curated record.